RNAcentral lists this ribosomal RNA (516 nucleotides) under uncultured bacterium. Its description in RNAcentral is "partial 16S ribosomal RNA". It matches the Rfam family "Bacterial small subunit ribosomal RNA", at positions 899 to 1397 of the family's 1533-position model. The record is from RNAcentral.
ACUCAAAUGAAUUGACGGGGACUUGCACAAGCGGUGGAUUAUGCGGUUCAAUUCGAUGACAAACGAAAAACCUUACCAAGGCUAGAAAUCUAUCUGAAGCCACGCAGAAACGUGUGGCGUCUCACAAGGACAGAUAGACAGGUGAUGCAUGGCCGUCGUCAGUUCGUGAUUUGAAUUGUUCCCUUAAGUGGGGUAACGAACGCAACCCUCUUUGUCUGUUACAAGUAUCAGGCGAGACCACCCAGCACUUUGCUCACAAAUUAUUGUGGUUAAAGUGCUGGGAGGAAGCGAGGAUGACGCCAGGUCAGCAUGUCCCUUUGACGCCUUGGGCUACACGCAUAAUACAAUGGUCACUACAACAGGUCGCGACGCCGUAAGGCUGAGCCAAUCCUUAGAAAAGUGGCCCCAGUUCGGAUUGGGGGCUGAAACUCGACCCCAUGAAGUUGGAAUCGCUAGUAAUCGCGGGUCAGCUAUACCGCGGUGAAUACGUUCUCAAGUCUUGUACACACCGCCCGU